Triticum urartu is the source of this 1791-nucleotide non-coding RNA. The record is from RefSeq and is a predicted model, not a curated record. NCBI's taxonomy places the organism in Eukaryota, Viridiplantae, Streptophyta, Magnoliopsida, Poales, Poaceae.
UGCUGGCAAAAGGACCACAGGGAAAAUGUAACCACUUUGUGCUCGAGUCCAGACGGCUGCUGAGAGGAAUUAUUGGCGUCCAUGUCUCGGAGUCGGAGGUUUCCUUUAUAUCAGCUACGGCGCCGGUGUCAUGUCCACAGGUCGGCACCCCGCUAGACCAUACCACCCAUUAACAGUCGCGCAAGGGGCGGUCGAUGGGCGUGUCCACGUCAUUCUUGAUUUUACUGUAUGGUAUAGAAACUUGUUUUUUUUUGUAAGAAACCUCCCCAGAUAACGCCUCGCCGCAAUCGAGCCCCACGCACACGCGCCGCCGCCGUCAUCUCCCUUCGCAGGCACGUCUCUUCCUUCACUCGAUUUCCCUGAUCCCCUUCUCGCACAUUGCCUCCUCCCAUUCCUUCCCCCCUUACUCGCACGGAGGUGGCUGCAGGAGAUGCGUGGCAGAGGAGGUUCGUGCAGGGGGUGAUGGUGGUGGGAGUGGGGAGUAAGAAAGAGCAUGGAGGCGGCGGCGGCUAGGAAGAGCGUGUGCGUGACCAGCGCAGGAGGCUUCAUCGCCUCGUGGCUCAUCAAGCUCCUCCUCUCCAAGGGCCACUAAAUGGUCCGCGGAUCCGUCCAUCCCAGCCCCUCGAAGAUCCAACCUCAGCUCAUGCUCGCGCUGCUCCCACCCCACGACGCCGUCUGCGUCGAACUGAAAGCCCACGGAGGACGGGGACGAGGUCAGGGUGGAGAUGUGGAUCAUUUUCUUUGGAUCCCCAACUGAAGAGUUUGAAGGAGUUUCUGCAGAGCACCUAGAUGUCAAUGAAUGUGCGUAGAGUCCAGGCCCCUGCCAUGGCUCUGCAACUUGCCACAACACAGUUGGAGGGUUCCAUUGUUCAUGCCCUUUUGUCACCAGUUUUGCUAAGGAAACAAACUCCUGCGCCAAUCAGUUUAUAAGUCAGGAGUUGAGCAGGGCACAAUCUGUGGCAGGACCGCAUUCUCCCACUCCUUUGUCUCAAAGCAAAAGAAGCUCGCUGCCUUUGCCUGGAGAGAGCAGAAGUUUCUUUUAUCUAAUCCAAGAUGAUCUAUUCAUGAUUAAAACAGUGAGGAAAUCAGAAGUCGAGUGCAAGGGCUGCAUUUCCUUAUAAAGCUUUUUAAUGGGUUGAGGUAAGUGCGGGAUGGAUGAAACUGCUCAGUACCGUCUAAUCUGGCAAUCUGGAUUAUGAUCGGUUCAACUAUUUUGUGGUUCCAGUUCUACUAAUUGAAGCCGGUGAGUUGGUGUAUGCUUGACGUGAGUCUGGUUCUCGCUUCAAUUCCCCCUGUUUCACCUCCAGAUCUACUCAUCGGGAGAUGGAUUCCUUGCAGUGAGAGGCUGGUCUGACGCUGUUGUUGAUAAUCAUCCAUACCUAUUCUGGACAUGGACGAAGUACACACAUGUACACACAGCUUUUUUUGAUCCGUUGCAUAUCAAAGCUUCAUUCAGACGAUGGACUGUCUUGCUCUACUUCGAAAUCAAAACAGGUGAGUCGUGUCCUUUUUAGGAUUUAACCAACUGAACUGAAACCAAGAUACAGUUGCUGCAGCACUAUUGAGCAAAUUGUACAGGGGAAAGACAGGCGGCUGAUGCAGAACAAGGGAAGGAGUAGCAGCUAUCUGCUGUUUCAGUUGUUUAUGUGCGCUGAAGAUUGUUCAUACCCGUACCCUGAAGAAAGAAGGCAAAAUAAUCCAUAACUAUUUCUUGAUAAUAAAGUACAUAGACAUAGAUAUAUAGCUCAAUGGCUCCAUCACGUUAGUUUGCUAAAUAAGUUAUAUGGAUCC